GUCAUCGCGACCUUAAAGCUAGCUCUCGUAGCUCUCCAUAGACAUGUCGAUCACUUUUCUAGCUCAUUCAUAGGCUGAGAUAUGCGCUUGUAAAGUUGAGGAGGCGGGACCACUGAGCGUGUCUUCCUGAGGACGUCCAGUUCAGCUAGAAAGCUAGUUGGAGAGUACUGACAGUGUUUCCCCCUGUAUUAUUGCGUUAAAAACCGGUUAGAGCACUUUGUCUUUGCACAAUGGCUUCACAAAAGGUGUUUUUUGGUGUGAAUUCGGUUUUGGAGGAGCUUGAUCGUCUGAGUGACUGAAUCUUUCAGCAACACUAGCUUUGACGCGGUCAGAAAAGCUGCGUGGGACAGGACCCUCAUCUUCAACUAGACUGAGUGAUGAAGGAUGGAUAGUAGCUAACAAGUCAGCCAGGCACCUACAAGGAAGUGGUUUGGCCACCAGCACACCUCCCACCUCCAUCUCUAUCAUAAAAGUGUGAACAAAUACAAUUAAAAAACACAAAGUAUUCCACUGAUUUGUUAAAAUGUAGGUGGUUUUCUGUCAAAUGAGACCAUUUUUAUCCAUUUACUCUAACAUAUAUGAGUAGGGCACUCUUUUUAAUUCAGGUAUGCCCAUUUUUUUCAGUACAAGUACACAUGGAGGCGCCAGUGCCAUCUUUCAGUUAAAUCUCAAUAAUUUUUGUUCAGAAGGAGAUAUUGAGUAGAUUCUUUUUUCCCCUGUUUACUGCUACACCGGUGGAAUAAAAAUAAAUAUUCUGAAGGGACAUAGACCAAACCGAUCAUAAAUUACAGACUCUUAAAUCAAAUCUUGAUUUGAAAAAUAAUUACCGUACGGUAAUUUUUUUUGUGUGUGUUAUUGAUGUAUUAUUCUUGUCAUAUUGUGAGCAAUAACACAGUAUUGCCUUUCAGUUUUUAGGCUUUUAGCAUAUAUCCUAACUCAAAUGAACUAAUUAUUACAGUAUAAAGUGAAAUGCUCUGCUGAUGAUGUUGUGUUGAAUGAGUGUUGAGUUUGAGUCUCAAUAUUAUAAAAUAUUAAUAGUAAGCUUUCAACUGUUUUUCUUACCAUUAAUUAAACUUGCAAGAAUUGA
Long non-coding RNA from Megalobrama amblycephala (Wuchang bream), 1087 nucleotides. RefSeq lists it as uncharacterized. The transcript is spliced from 2 exons. NCBI's taxonomy places the organism in Eukaryota, Metazoa, Chordata, Actinopteri, Cypriniformes, Xenocyprididae. The record is from RefSeq and is a predicted model, not a curated record.